UACGAACUGUGCGAACGUUAUUCGGAAUCACUGGGCUUAAAGGGUGCGUAGGCGGUUUGUUAAGUCAGGUGUGAAAUCCCCCGGCUCAACCGGGGAACAGCGCUUGAAACUAGCAGACUUGAGUGAGGUAAGGGUGUGCGGAACUUCCAGUGGAGCGGUGAAAUGUGUAGAUAUUGGAAGGAACUCCGGUGGCGAAAGCGGCACACUGGGCCUUGUCUGACGCUGAGGCACGAAAGCUAGGGGAGUGAACGGG
This 253-nucleotide ribosomal RNA is filed under the name uncultured Planctomyces sp. RNAcentral's name for it is "partial 16S ribosomal RNA". It matches the Rfam family "Bacterial small subunit ribosomal RNA", at positions 524 to 776 of the family's 1533-position model. Lineage: Bacteria; Pseudomonadati; Planctomycetota; Planctomycetia; Planctomycetales; Planctomycetaceae. The record is from RNAcentral.